This 491-nucleotide ribosomal RNA is filed under the name uncultured bacterium. RNAcentral describes it as "bacterial SSU rRNA". It matches the Rfam family "Bacterial small subunit ribosomal RNA", at positions 228 to 731 of the family's 1533-position model. The record is from RNAcentral.
GGCCCGCGGCCUAUCAGCUUGUUGGUGAGGUAAUGGCUCACCAAGGCGACGACGGGUAGCCGGCCUGAGAGGGCGACCGGCCACACUGGGACUGAGACACGGCCCAGACUCCUACGGGAGGCAGCAGUGGGGAAUAUUGCACAAUGGGCGAAAGCCUGAUGCAGCGACGCCGCGUGAGGGAUGACGGCCUUCGGGUUGUAAACCUCUUUCAGCAGGGAAGAAGCGAAAGUGACGGUACCUGCAGAAGAAGCACCGGCUAACUACGUGCCAGCAGCCGCGGUAAUACGUAGGGUGCGAGCGUUGUCCGGAAUUAUUGGGCGUAAAGAGCUUGUAGGCGGUUUGUCGCGUCUGCAGUGAAAAUCCGGGGCUCAACCCCGGACUUGCUGUGGGUACGGGCAGACUAGAGUGUGGUAGGGGAGACCGGAAUUCCUGGUGUAGCGGUGGAAUGCGCAGAUAUCAGGAGGAACACCGAUGGCGAAGGCAGGUCUCUG